AGAACGAACGCUGGCGGCAGGCCUCAAACAUGCAAGUCUAGGGGGUGUAGCAAUACAUCACCGGCGGACGGGUGCGUAACGCGUGGGAAUAUACCUAUUGGUUCGGAACAACUGAGGGAAACUUCAGCUAAAUACCGAAUAAGUCCUUACGGAGAAAGAUUUAUCGCCAAUAGAUUAGCCCGCGUUCGAUUAGCUAGUUGGUGGGGUAACGGCCCACCAAGGCGACGAUCGAUAGCUGUUCUGAGAGGAAGAUCAGCCACACUGGGACUGAGACACGGCCCAGACUCCUACGGGAGGCAGCAGUUGGGAAUCUUGGACAAUGGGGGCAACCCUGAUCCAGCCAUGCCGCGUGGGUGAAGAAGGCCUCGGUUGUAAGCCCUUUGUACGGGAGAAAGCGUGCGGUUAAUAACCGUACGUGCUGACGGUACCGUAAGAAUAAGCACCGGCUAACUUCGUGCCAGCAGCCGC
Molecule: ribosomal RNA, 468 nt
Filed under: uncultured bacterium
Lineage: Bacteria
Description: SSU rRNA
Rfam family: Bacterial small subunit ribosomal RNA
Source: RNAcentral